GAUGAACGCUGGCGGCGUGCCUAAUACAUGCAAGUCGAGCGAACGGACGAGACGUUUGCUUCUCUGAUGUUAGCGGCGGACGUGUGUGUAACACGUGGAUAACCUACUUAUCAGACUGGGAUAACCUCGGGACUCCGGCGCUAAUACCGGAUGAUCUCUUGAUCCGCAUGGUUCAAUAGUGAAAGACAGCCUUGCUGUCUCUUAUAGAUGCAUCCGCGCUGCAUGAGAUAGUUGGUAAGGGAACGGCUUACCAAGGCAACGCUGCAUAGCCGACCUGAGAGGGUGAUCGGCGACACUAGAACGGAGACGCGGUCCAGAGGACUACGGGAGGCAGCAGUAGGGAAUGUGCCGCAGUGGGCGGAAGCCUGACGGAGCAACGCCGCGUGAGUUAUGGAGGUCUUCGGAGCGUAAAACUCUGUUAUUAGGGAAGAACAGAUGUGUAAGUUACUGUGCACAGCGUGACGGUACCUGAUCAGAAAGCCACGGCUAACUACGUG
This 497-nucleotide ribosomal RNA is filed under the name uncultured bacterium. RNAcentral's name for it is "partial 16S ribosomal RNA". It matches the Rfam family "Bacterial small subunit ribosomal RNA", at positions 28 to 507 of the family's 1533-position model. The record is from RNAcentral.